AAAAUUUUAAUUAAAAAAUUCAUUUUAGCUAAUUAAUAAAACAUAACAAGGCUCCAAAGGGAAUAUUUCUUUAUAACCAUUAGCAAAACUGUCCAUCUUCUAUUAAAAAUACAGAAAACUUCUCUAUACUGAAUAAAAUUAUCCCUAAUUGUGCCUCUCUAUUUUCUCUUUGCACUGUUGUGUGCUUAAUUCUCUCUUCUUGCUGCUGUGUGCGCAAACUUGAUAUUCGAUUCCCUUCGUUCAUGGAGGAAAUAGAAAGUUGACCAUGUUAACAGAGAACAAUAACAUCUAUGCCUCGAUCGAAGCAAGUUAGGAUUGGCUAUGUGAAUCCUUAAUAUCCAAUAUUGUUAACGACAAGCACUGGCAUAGUUGAGAAGUGAAAUAUUUUUUGAUAUAUUGAUUUAUUAUGUCAUUGUAUUAUCUAAAUUCAUGAGGUAAUAUAUUUUCUUCACUAUGAAAAAAAUUAUAUUUUCCUCCUA
Long non-coding RNA from Capsicum annuum, 479 nucleotides. RefSeq lists it as uncharacterized. The transcript is spliced from 2 exons. NCBI's taxonomy places the organism in Eukaryota, Viridiplantae, Streptophyta, Magnoliopsida, Solanales, Solanaceae. The record is from RefSeq and is a predicted model, not a curated record.